AAACUUCAAAUAUCUAAUAUUCUCUAUUUAAAUCUAAAAUCUUAAAAACUUGCUCUAUUCUCAAAUUUUAAAAAUAAUACAAUAUUAAACCAAACCCCAAUUGUUUUACUCAAAACACUCAUAAAUAUCAAUCUUAUAACUUUAUUUCAAUAAUAUAGUUACUUUAUAUUUUUUCACAAUUUAUUCUACUUUAAAUUUAACUACAAGUAUAUUUUUUAAUUUUAUGCCCAAUUUUAAAAUUUUAUAACUUAAAAUCAAAAUUAUAAACUACAAAGUAUAAAUUUUGUAUAAAACAUAACUUAAAAUAAUUACAAACAAAAAAAUCACCAAACAAAGAAAGACAAAAAAAAAGAAAAUAAAAAAGUAAGAUAAUAUACUUUUGGCCAAUCAGAUCCAUGUAAAAGGAUCACUUCUCAGCUGUUGGAUUAUAUUAAAUCAAGGGCUGAGAUUUAUUUUAUUUUUUAUUUUUUUUUUCUUCUCUGGCUUCUCUCUCGACAGAUUCAUUCUCUUUUUUUUUUUUUUUUUUCUGUUUCUUCUUUCAUCUUCUUCACUCUCAUCUCUCCCAUCUUCUUUCUCUCCCAUCUCUCUACGCUUGAAAGCUCACCAACUCUCUCAUGUCUCACUUUUCAGAUCUGGUUAACUGAGAAAGGAUGAAGAUGAUAAUGGAGACGACGAAGAAGGAGACUCGCUGGGACGAAGCGCCGAGGCUCACCGGAGAAGAAGAUGCGCCGAAAGGUAGAUGAGGCAGAAGAAAAUGAUGUUUGGUGGUGGUGCAUAGGUCGUAGAAGAAGAAAAAAUCGAUGGAACUGAGGAGUAAGAUGACAAUUUCGACAGUCACUCCAGGUGAAGAAGAACCGGACAGUCGCCGUGAAGGAGGCUGAAGUUGACGGCAAAGAGGCUGAAGUUGACUGAGGAUUAGGUUUAGGCUUUUGGUUUAGUUCUGGUUUAGUUUAGGUUUAUUGGUUUACUUUACAAUAGAUUUGGUUUCUUUUUAUUUUUUUUUAAUUUUGGUUAGUUUGUAAACCGAACUUAAUUUAUAAAAUAAGAAAUUAUUUUAUUUUAA
Molecule: long non-coding RNA, 1063 nt
Organism: Brassica napus (rape)
Lineage: Eukaryota; Viridiplantae; Streptophyta; Magnoliopsida; Brassicales; Brassicaceae
Exons: 2
Source: RefSeq, a predicted model, not a curated record